This 468-nucleotide ribosomal RNA is filed under the name uncultured bacterium. RNAcentral's name for it is "partial 16S ribosomal RNA". It matches the Rfam family "Bacterial small subunit ribosomal RNA", at positions 28 to 507 of the family's 1533-position model. The record is from RNAcentral.
GACGAACGCUGGCGGCGUGCUUAACACAUGCAAGUCGAACGGAAAGGCCCUGCUUUUGUGGGUUGCUCGAGUGGCGAACGGGUGAGUAACACGUGAGUAACCUGCCCUUGACUUUGUGAUAACUUCAGGAAACUGGGGCUCAUACCGGGUAGGAUCUCCUGCUGCACGGUGGGGGUUGGAAAGUUUCGGCGGUUGGGGAUGGACUCGCGGGUUAUCAGCUUGUUGGUGGGGUAGUGGCUUACAAAGGCUUUGACGGAUAGCCGGCCUGAGAGGGUGACCGGCCACAUUGGGACUGAGAUACGGCGCAGACGCCUACGGGAGGCAGCGGUGGGGAGUAUGGCGGAAUGGGCGGAAGCCUGAUGCAGCAGCGCCGCGUGCGGGAUGACGGCUUUCGGGUUGUAAACCGCUUUCGCCGGUGACGAAGCGUGAUUGACGGUAAUUGGUAAAGAAGCACCGGCUAACUACGUG